Molecule: ribosomal RNA, 252 nt
Filed under: uncultured bacterium
Lineage: Bacteria
Description: partial 16S ribosomal RNA
Rfam family: Bacterial small subunit ribosomal RNA
Source: RNAcentral
GACGGGGGAUGCAAGUGUUAUCCGGAAUCACUGGGCGUAAAGCGUCUGCAGGUGGUUUCCUAAGUCCACUGUUAAACCUUGAGGCUCAACCUCAAAUCUGCAUUGGAACUAGGAGACUUGAGUAUAGUAGGGGUAGAGGGAAUUUCCAGUGGAGCGGUGAAAUGCGUAGAUAUUGGAAAGAACACCGAUGGCGAAGGCACUCUACUGGGCUAUUACUGACACUCAGAGACGAAAGCUAGGGGAGCAAAUGGG